Molecule: ribosomal RNA, 253 nt
Filed under: uncultured bacterium
Lineage: Bacteria
Description: partial 16S ribosomal RNA
Rfam family: Bacterial small subunit ribosomal RNA
Source: RNAcentral
UACGGGGGGAGCAACCGUUGUUCGGAAUCACUGGGCGUAAAGGGCGUGUAGGCGGCUGGAUAAGUGGGAUGUUAAAUCCCCCGGCUCAACCGGGGACCUGCAUCUCAUACUGUUCAGCUCGAGCACAUCAGAGGAGACUGGAAUUCCCGGUGUAGCGGUGAAAUGCGUAGAUAUCGUAAGGAAGACCAGUGGCGAAGGCGGGUCUCUGGACAGUUCCUGACGCUGAGGCGCGAAGGCCAGGGGAGCAAACGGG